GAUGAAGAACGUAGCGAAAUGCGAUAAGUAAUGUGAAUUGCAGAAUUCAGUGAAUCAUCGAAUCUUUGAACGCACAUUGCGCCCGCCAGUAUUCUGGCGGGCAUGCCUGUUCGAGCGUCAUUUCAACCAUCAAGCCCCAGGCUUGUGUUGGGGACCUGCGGCUGCCGCAGGCCCUGAAAACCAGUGGCGGGCUCGCUGUCACACCGGGCGUAGUAGAUUUUAUCUCGCUCAGGGCGUGCUGCGAGUUCCGGCCGUUAAAAAGCCUUUUUUACCCAAGGUUGACCUCGGAUCAGGUAGGAAGACCCGCUGAACUUAAGCAUAUCAAUAAGCGGAGGA
RNAcentral lists this unclassified non-coding RNA (336 nucleotides) under soil metagenome. Its description in RNAcentral is "partial contains 5.8S ribosomal RNA, internal transcribed spacer 2, and large subunit ribosomal RNA". The stretch from base 1 to 120 matches the Rfam family "5.8S ribosomal RNA", at positions 35 to 154 of the family's 154-position model. The record is from RNAcentral.